RNAcentral lists this long non-coding RNA (473 nucleotides) under Equus caballus (horse). Its description in RNAcentral is "lncRNA (ENSECAG00000038903.2)". Lineage: Eukaryota; Metazoa; Chordata; Mammalia; Perissodactyla; Equidae. The record is from RNAcentral.
GUGCGCACCUAGGGCGAGGGACUAGCUGGGAAGGGUGUGCCUGUGCUUGGGGAUGGGAGCAGGAAGUGUCUGGGACCUCGUCGCCCCCCGCGGCGGUGUAUAAACCCGGGCGGGCCGUCAGAGCGGAGCUUCAGAGCAGAGACAAGAGCCCAGAAAGGAGCAGAUGCUAGAUUUGCAAGAUCAGAAGCAGGUCUUGAUCCUCCUGCCCAGAAUGAACCAGACUUGAUGAUGAUGCCACCUUCAGGAGCCACCACACUGUGUGACAGUGGGGCAUUUGGGCCGUCCCUGGGAAGUACAGGAUCCAAGAAUGAUGAUCUGUGAAGAGUUUUCCGAGGUCACCUACUUCUAACUCUUUUGAAAGAUUUAAAGACAUUGGGCCUGAAAAUUUCAGUGACUUGUCCAGGGAAACGCAGUUUGUGACAGUUCACUCUCUCACAGCUGAACCACAGUCCUCUGUACUCGCCCAGGAGCCA